CCUACGGGUGGCAGCAGUGGGGAAUAUUGGACAAUGGGCGAAAGCCUGAUCCAGCCAUGCCGCGUGUGUGAAGAAGGCCUUCGGGUUGUAAAGCACUUUCAGUGGGGAAGAAAGCCUUGGGGCUAAUACCCUCGAGGAAGGACAUCACCCACAGAAGAAGCACCGGCUAACUCCGUGCCAGCAGCCGCGGUAAUACGGAGGGUGCGAGCGUUAAUCGGAAUUACCGGGCGUAAAGCGCGCGUAGGCGGUCUGAUAAGCCGGUUGUGAAAGCCCCGGGCUCAACCUGGGAACGGCAUCCGGAACUGUCAGGCUAGAGUGCAGGAGAGGAAGGUAGAAUUCCCGGUGUAGCGGUGAAAUGCGUAGAGAUCGGGAGGAAUACCAGUGGCGAAGGCGGCCUUCUGGACUGACACUGACGCUGAGGUGCGAAAGCGUGGGUAGCAAACAGGAUUAGAUACCCGUGUAGUC
Molecule: ribosomal RNA, 465 nt
Filed under: Vreelandella stevensii
Lineage: Bacteria; Pseudomonadati; Pseudomonadota; Gammaproteobacteria; Oceanospirillales; Halomonadaceae
Description: partial 16S ribosomal RNA
Rfam family: Bacterial small subunit ribosomal RNA
Source: RNAcentral